This 26-nucleotide non-coding RNA is filed under the name Callithrix jacchus (white-tufted-ear marmoset). RNAcentral also lists the same sequence under 1 other name. The record is from RNAcentral. Lineage: Eukaryota; Metazoa; Chordata; Mammalia; Primates; Cebidae.
UACGACGUGAUCUGGAUCCAGUGGGU